AACCUUUACACUGCACGACAGUGCGAUAAGGGAAUCCCAAGUGCGUAGGCAUAGAGCCUACGCUUUUGUCCACCGUAGGGAGGUGGACGAAUAAGGGCUGGGCAAGACCGGUGCCAGCCGCCGCGGUAAUACCGGCAGCCCGAGUGAUGGCCGAUCUUAUUGGGCCUAAAGCGUCCGUAGCUGGCCGCACAAGUCCAUCGGAAAAUCCACCCGCUCAACGGGUGGGCGUCCGGUGGAAACUGUGUGGCUUGGGACCGGAAGGCGCGACGGGUACGUCCGGGGUAGGAGUGAAAUCCCGUAAUCCUGGACGGACCGCCGAUGGCGAAAGCACGUCGCGAGAACGGAUCCGACAGUGAGGGACGAAAGCUAGGGUCUCGAACCGGAUUAGAUACCCGGGUAGUCCUAGCCGUAAACGAUGCUCGCUAGGUGUGGCGCAGGCUACGAGCCUGCGCUGUGCCGUAGGGAAGCCGUGAAGCGAGCCGCCUGGGAAGUACGUCUGCAAGGAUGAAACUUAA
RNAcentral lists this ribosomal RNA (515 nucleotides) under uncultured archaeon. RNAcentral's name for it is "bacterial SSU rRNA". It matches the Rfam family "Archaeal small subunit ribosomal RNA", at positions 345 to 859 of the family's 1478-position model. The record is from RNAcentral.